This 253-nucleotide ribosomal RNA is filed under the name uncultured Ktedonobacter sp. Its description in RNAcentral is "partial 16S ribosomal RNA". It matches the Rfam family "Bacterial small subunit ribosomal RNA", at positions 524 to 776 of the family's 1533-position model. Lineage: Bacteria; Bacillati; Chloroflexota; Ktedonobacteria; Ktedonobacterales; Ktedonobacteraceae. The record is from RNAcentral.
UACGUAGGGGGCAAGCGUUGUCCGGAGUUACUGGGCGUAAAGGGCGCGUAGGCGGUAUUGCGCGUGGCGGGUGCCAGCUGCUGGCUUAACCAGCAGAGUGCCCGGCAAACGGCAGCACUGGAGGGCCGCAGAGGGACAUAGAAUUCCGGGUGGAGUGGUGAAAUGCGUAGAGAUCCGGAGGAAUACCAAUGGCGAAGGCAGUGUCCUGGACGGCAACUGACGCUGAGGCGCGAAAGCCAGGGGAGCGAACGGG